RNAcentral lists this ribosomal RNA (330 nucleotides) under uncultured bacterium. RNAcentral describes it as "bacterial SSU rRNA". It matches the Rfam family "Bacterial small subunit ribosomal RNA", at positions 568 to 898 of the family's 1533-position model. The record is from RNAcentral.
CGUGUAGGCGGGUCUUUAAGUCAGGGGUGAAAUGCCAAGGCUCAACCUUGGAACUGCCUUUGAUACUGGAGAUCUUGAGUCCGGGAGAGGUGAGUGGAACUGCGAGUGUAGAGGUGAAAUUCGUAGAUAUUCGCAAGAACACCAGUGGCGAAGGCGGCUCACUGGCCCGGAACUGACGCUGAGACGCGAAAGCGUGGGGAGCAAACAGGAUUAGAUACCCUGGUAGUCCACGCUGUAAACGAUGGAUGCUAGCCGUUGGGGAGCUUGCUCUUCAGUGGCGCAGCUAACGCUUUAAGCAUCCCGCCUGGGGAGUACGGUCGCAAGAUUAAA